AUUGCUUCUCAGCCUUUUGGCUAAGAUCAAGUGUAGUACCUUGAGAAAUAAUUAGAUCUUUCUCUCUUACUGUAUUAAAAAAAAAACAGCCUUU
Heterocephalus glaber (naked mole-rat) is the source of this 94-nucleotide small nuclear RNA. Its record names the gene U2. It matches the Rfam family "U2 spliceosomal RNA". Rfam says of the family: U2 is a small nuclear RNA (snRNA) component of the spliceosome (involved in pre-mRNA splicing). Complementary binding between U2 snRNA (in an area lying towards the 5' end but 3' to hairpin I) and the branchpoint sequence (BPS) of the intron results the bulging out of an unpaired adenosine, on the BPS, which initiates a nucleophilic attack at the intronic 5' splice site, thus starting the first of two transesterification reactions that mediate splicing. Lineage: Eukaryota; Metazoa; Chordata; Mammalia; Rodentia; Bathyergidae. The record is from Ensembl.